CAAGUCGAGUGCGCGGUUGUAGCAAUACAACUGGCGCACGGCGCACGGGUGCGUAACACGUGGGUAACCUGCCCUUUGGUGGGGAAUAACUCCGCGAAAGCGGAGCUAAUUCCGCAUAAGAUCCGCAAGGAUGAAAGCAGCAAUGCGCCGAAGGAGGGGCCCGCGCCCGAUUAGCUAGUUGGUGAGGUAAUGGCUCACCAAGGCUUUGAUCGGUAGCUGGUCUGAGAGGAUGAUCAGCCACACUGGAACUGAGACACGGUCCAGACUCCUACGGGAGGCAGCAGUGGGGAAUCUUGCACAAUGGGCGAAAGCCUGAUGCAGCGACGCCGCGUGGGGGAUGAAGCAUUUCGGUGUGUAAACCCCUUUCGAUCCGGACGAAACCCCGCAAGGGAUUGACGGUACGGAUAUAAGAAGCCCCGGCUAACUACGUGCCAGCAGCCGCGGUAAGACGUAGGGGGCCAGCGUUGUUCGGAAUUACUGGGUGUAAAGGGUUCGUAGGCGGUGCGGCAAGUUGGGAGUGAAAUCUCUGGGCUUAACCCAGAGGCUGCUUCCAAAACUGCUGUGCUUGAGUGUGGGAGAGGCGCGUGGAAUUGCAGGUGUAGCGGUGAAAUGCGUAGAUAUCUGCAGGAACACCCGUGGCGAAAGCGGCGCGCUGGACCACUACUGACGCUGAGGAACGAAAGCUAGGGGAGCAAACAGGAUUAGAUACCCUGGUAGUCCUAGCCCUAAACGAUCAGGACUUGGGGUGCCACCCGUUCGGGUGUCGUCCCGGAGCUAACGCGUUAAGUCCUGCACCUGGGGAGUACGGUCGCAAGACUGAAACUCAAAGGAAUUGACGGGGGCCCGCACAAGCGGUGGAACAUGUGGUUCAAUUC
Molecule: ribosomal RNA, 875 nt
Filed under: uncultured Acidobacteriota bacterium
Lineage: Bacteria; Pseudomonadati; Acidobacteriota
Description: bacterial SSU rRNA
Rfam family: Bacterial small subunit ribosomal RNA
Source: RNAcentral